UAGGCGCGAACCCUAAAUGACUGGCAAGAACCCUAAACAAAUAUCAACAUGCAUUCAAGGAGAAGAGUCGCAUACCUUUCAAAGAUUGACGACGAUGAAAAAUGUGUACAAACGACCGACAAGAAGGUGGUCAAACACUCGGAUGAAGAUGAGAGACGACGAGAGAAAAUGAGAGAAACUUGAGAGCCAGAAUCGCACAGUGAAAGAUGUAAGUGAAAAAAUGGGUGGAUGAUCCUUCGUAAAGCAGUCUUAAGAGUUUUUUAAAUUAGAGACAAAAUUAAUAUUUCAUGUGGACAAAAGAUCAAUCAUAGAUAAGUUUUUAAAAAGAGCACAUUCAUAGAAAAGUUUUUUAGAUUUGGAUUUUAUGAAAUUUUUCCAAAUCUUAUUUUCCCAAAAUUUGGUCAUCCACCAUGGUACCAAAUAGAUUACCUUUUUGAAUCCGAAUAUUUAGAGCAAAUCCAUGUUAUACCCAAUUGGGUACCCUGAAUUUCCGCCCGUCACGUGAACCAAUGACGAUACAACACUCCCGGCGCGUGGCAGUGAUCGGCGCCGGCGCCGGUGGCCUCGUCUCGGCGCGGGAACUUUCCCGCGAGGGCCACCAUGUGGUCGUAUUCGAACGGAAUACUCAAAUCGGAGGGACCUGGGUAUAUUCGCCGGAAAUUGAAUCCGACCCGCUUGGAGUCGACCCGAAUCGGACCCGAAUCCAUAGCAGCCUCUACAAAUCUCUACGCACCAAUCUUCCCAGAGAACUCAUGGGGGUCCGCGAUUACCCGUUUGUGCCUCGAGAAGGGAAGGAUCGAGAUCCGAGGCGAUUUCCAGCUCAUGGAGAGGUUCUAAAGUAUUUGGAAGAUUUCGCGAAUGAAUUUGGGAUUUGUAAAUUGGUGAGAUUUGGAACUGAGGUCGUGUUUGCCAGUUUGGAGGAGCUUGGGAAAUGGAGGGUUGAAUUUAGAUGUGAAAAUGGGGCUGUUGAUUAUGACAUUUUUGAUGCUGUGGUUGUUUGUGUUGGGAACUUUUCGCAGCCUCGAGUGGCAGAGAUUCCUGGGAUAGAUGGAUGGCCUGGGGUCCAAGUGCAUAGUCAUAAUUAUCGUGAUCCCGAACCAUUUCGGGGUAAGGUUGUUGUCUUGAUAGGUUAUUCUUUUAGUGGUAUGGACAUUUCUCAGGAGCUCAAUGGGAUUGCCAAAGAAAUUCAUGUUGCUUGCAGAUCAGCUAAAACAGAGCUUUUGGACACACAAUCAACUAUUAGUAAUGUAUCAUUUCAUCCAAUGAUUGAAAGUGUCCGUAAAGAUGGAACAGUGGUCUUUCAAGACGGGUGCAUCGUUUCGGCUGAUGUUAUUCUGCAUUGCACUGGGUACAAAUAUCACUUCCCUUUCCUUGACACCAAUGGCAUUGUUAUGGUGGACGACAACCGUGUAGGACCUCUAUACAAGCAUGUCUUCCUUCCAGCAUUGGCCCCAGGGCUUUCCUUUGUUGGGUUACUAUUUACGGCAAGUAUCCAAUUGUGGCUGUUCCUUUGCCCAUGUUUGAGCUUCAAAGCAAUUGGGUUGCUGGUGUUUUAUCAAACAGGAUUGCAUUUCCAUCUAAAGAAGAGAUGUUGGCAGAUGUAAACAAAUUUUAUGCAGAUCUUGAAGCUCUUGGCAAGCCCAAGCAUCGGACCCAUGAAUUGGGUGAUUAUAUGACGUGUGAGGACACACUCUUGGACACUUAGUCACCAUGAACAUGUGUUCUGCGCUCGCCUUUACUCGGGAAGAAGAAAAUUUUGAGGAAGAAGAUUUGAAGAAAACGAAGAAUAGGGAAGAGGAGUAGGAGAAGAGAAGAGUUGGGGAAGGUAGUGUUUCGACUAUCUGUACAUAACCCCAGUGGUUUGUUACUGUUAAGAGUUCUAACCUAAGUGAACAUUGGUGGAAAAGCUGAUGUUUGGAAUAUGGAGAUGUUCAAGGUUCGAAUCUCAUGUUGAAAACUUAGAUCCGUUUGAUUAUCAUUUUUUUUUUUUUAGUUUAGAUUUUUUUUCUAAUUUGUCUAUAUAUAUAUUUUCAAA
Molecule: RNA transcript, 2035 nt
Organism: Benincasa hispida (wax gourd)
Lineage: Eukaryota; Viridiplantae; Streptophyta; Magnoliopsida; Cucurbitales; Cucurbitaceae
Gene name: Flavin-binding monooxygenase family protein
Source: RefSeq, a predicted model, not a curated record